RNAcentral lists this long non-coding RNA (750 nucleotides) under Equus caballus (horse). Its description in RNAcentral is "lncRNA (ENSECAG00000040358.3)". Lineage: Eukaryota; Metazoa; Chordata; Mammalia; Perissodactyla; Equidae. The record is from RNAcentral.
CUCAGAGGAUGGUCACCCCUGGUGACAUUAUAAAACAGUGUCUGAACUCACCCAGCUGGGGAACAGGCAGAGAAACCCCAUGGCUUCACCAUCCUCAGUGCAAUGCUAUUCAUUAUCACCUGAAAAACUCUAGGAAUCUACAGGAUGGUCCAUGGAUGCCACACUCAGACCUCCUCAGUGGUGACCUUGGUAUAUUGAACCACAAGGCUGAUAGAAGACUGCACCUCCCGAAAGCAGGCAGCAAGACAAGCCACAGCAAUCAAACCAGAUGUUUCCAGUUCUCAGCCAACGUCGCCUGGGGACCCUCCCAUUGAGAAUGUUACCUCCCCAAGAAGGAAGAGGAACUGAUCUUUUAUGAACACUUAUCAACCUAAAGCCAAGGAAGACAGCCCAGCAGCGUGCUGACUUAUGGGCAUUCUCACGGGGGCAAAGACACGCAUGGCAGACGUCAAGAGGCACGGGAUGACUGCAUUUCAGCCCAGUGUUGGGGCAUGACAGAAUGCUGGCGAUUUGCUUAAUUCGUUUGAACAACAAAAGCCCACGUGCUUCCUGAGAUCUCGGUUCUCCCAGGUCCUCUCAGCAGGUAAAAGAACUGCCACAUCACACAUGGUUGCAAUCAUCACAUUCCUAAGAAAACACACGUUCUGGAAUAUUCGACAGCCCUUUUCCUUUGUUUCCAAAGCCUAAGAAACAGCCUUCAGAAUUGCAGUAGGAACAAUCCUGACAUAUUGAUUCUUCAGUUAAACUCAG